Molecule: long non-coding RNA, 1676 nt
Filed under: Homo sapiens (human)
Lineage: Eukaryota; Metazoa; Chordata; Mammalia; Primates; Hominidae
Description: HSALNT0325921
Source: RNAcentral
AUAAAUAUUGUAUCUAGUUUAUUGCAGCACUAUUUAUAAUAGCAAAGACUUAGAACUAACCCAAAUGCCUAUCAUGAUAGACUGGAUAAAGAAAAUGUGGCACAUAUACACCAUGGAAUACUAUGCAGCCAUGAAAAAGAAUGAGAUCAUCUCCUUUGCAGAGACUUGGAUAAAGCUGGAAACCAUAAUUCUCAAAAAACUAACACAGGAACAGAAAACCAAAUACCAUGUCAUGUUCUCACUCAUAAGUGGGAGUUGAACAAUGAGAACACAUGGACACAGGGAGGGGAACAUCAUACACUGGGGCCUGUUGGAGGUUGGGGGCAACGGGAGGAAGAGCAUUAGGACAAAUACCUAAUACAUGCGGGGCUUAAAACCUAGAUGAUGGGUUGUUAGGUGCAGCAAACCACCAUGGCACAUGUGUACCUAUGUAACAAACCUGCACAUUCUGCACAUAUAUCCCAGAACUUAAAGUAAAAUAAUAACAAUAAUAAACAAACAAAAGAUUUGGGAACCAAAGAACUAACUGUUGGGACCUUCAAGAUGCAGACAUUUAAUUUUAUAUGUGUCAAUGAAGCAUGCAUGAAAAAGACAAAGAUGAAACAGUGUGUAGUAUUAGGAAAAAUUGUCAAUAUGACCCAGGAAAAUUCACAAAAAGAAAAGAGAGAAACUGAUUAUUUGGUUUGUACUGAAGUGGACUAAUUAUGGGUUAUUUAUAUAAACUGCCAGUCAUGUCUAGUUACCCCAUGGCAAAACAAUGAUUAUCAUUAAACAUUAAACCAUUAAAAAUAAAUAAAUAAAUAUUUUAUCUAUUGAGUACCCCUAUUUUAUUUAUUUGUUUAUUUAUUCAUUUUAAGAGAUAGGGUCUUGUCAUGUUGGCCAGGGUGGAUUCAAAAUCCUGGGCUCAAGCAAUCCUCCCACCUUGGCCUCCUGAGUAGCUAGGACUAUAGGUAUAGUCUAGCUAUGCACCUGGCCAGCAAAACUUAUAUUGAUGUCGUUUCUCUUGCAGUAAGUAUCAAGAGGGGAAUUUGAAAUACCCAUUUUUUGACUAGAUAUUACAUAUAAUUACUUGAGUAUUUUAAAAAGCAGUCCAUGAAAGGUGCAUAGUACAAUGUUGGUCAUAGGGAGUGCUUAGUAAACGUUGACUUUUUUUUCUAAAAACUAUUUUUAUUUCUAGAACUACUUCCUUGUGUUUGGGUAAAUGGUAAAGGAGAAAGAAAGAGUGGCUUUUAUCAAUGAUCAGUUUUCAAGGAAAUUACAUUAUGCAAAUACUUUAUUCUUUAUCUCAUUUAGUAGAAAUCAAUAUCGCCCCUCCAUGUUAGCCAUUUUUUCUUUCCUAUUAAUUACAUCACAGAUCUUAUUCUCAGAAAUAGAUCAAAUCAAACUGAAUUUGUCUUUGCACUCAUACUACAAGAAUACAUUUACAAAAAUCUCAUAAACACAAAUCGUCAUAAUCAUAAUAAUUAUAUUGUGGGCCAGGCGCAGUGGCUCACGCCUGUAAUCCCAGCACUUUGGGAGGCCAAGGUGGGUGGAUCACAAGGUCAGGAGUUCGAGACCAGCCUGGCCAACAUAGUGAAACCCCAUCUCUGCUAAAAAAUACAAAAAAUAAGCCAGGCGUAGUGGUGGGCACCUGUAAUCCCAGCUACUUGGGAGGCUGAGGCAGGAGAAUCGCUUGA